AAGGCCUUCGGGUUGUAAAGUACUUUCAGCGGGGAGGAAGGGAGUAAAGUUAAUACCUUUGCUCAUUGACGUUACCCGCAGAAGAAGCACCGGCUAACUCCGUGCCAGCAGCCGCGGUAAUACGGAGGGUGCAAGCGUUAAUCGGAAUUACUGGGCGUAAAGCGCACGCAGGCGGUUUGUUAAGUCAGAUGUGAAAUCCCCGGGCUCAACCUGGGAGCUGCAUCUGAUACUGGCAAGCUUGAGUCUCGUAGAGGGGGGUAGAAUUCCAGGUGUAGCGGUGAAAUGCGUAGAGAUCUGGAGGAAUACCGGUGGCGAAGGCGGCCCCCUGGACGAAGACUGACGCUCAGGUGCGAAAGCGUGGGGAGCAAACAGGAUUAGAUACCCUGGUAGUCCACGCCGUAAACGAUGUCGACUUGGAGGUUGUGCCCUUGAGGCGUGGCUUCCGGAGCUAACGCGUUAAGUCGACCGCCUGGGGAGUACGGCCGCAAGGUUAAAACUCAAAUGAAUUGACGGGGGCCCGCACAAGCGGUGGAGCAUGUGGUUUAAUUCGAUGCAACGCGAAGAACCUUACCUGGUCUUGACAUCCACGGAAGUUUUCAGAGAUGAGAAUGUGCCUUCGGGAACCGUGAGACAGGUGCUGCAUGGCUGUCGUCAGCUCGUGUUGUGAAAUGUUGGGUUAAGUCCCGCAACGAGCGCAACCCUUAUCCUUUGUUGCCAGCGGUCCGGCCGGGAACUCAAAGGAGACUGCCAGUGAUAAACUGGAGGAAGGCGGGGAUGACGUCAAGUCAUCAUGGCCCUUACGACCAGGGCUACACACGUGCUACAAUGGCGCAUACAAAGAGAAGCGACCUCGCGAGAGCAAGCGGACCUCAUAAAGUGCGUCGUAGUCCGGAUUGGAGUCUGCAACUCGACUCCAUGAAGUCGGAAUCGCUAGUAAUCGUGGAUCAGAAUGCCACGGUGAAUACGUUCCCGGGCCUUGUACACACCGCCCGUCACACCAUGGGAGUGGGUUGCAAAAGAAGUAGGUAGCUUAACCUUCGGGAGGGCGCUUACCACUUUGUGAUUCAUGACUGGGGUGAAGUCGUAACAAGGUAACCGUAGGGGAACCUGCGGUUGGAUCACCU
RNAcentral lists this ribosomal RNA (1124 nucleotides) under Escherichia coli KTE60. RNAcentral describes it as "bacterial SSU rRNA". It matches the Rfam family "Bacterial small subunit ribosomal RNA", at positions 411 to 1528 of the family's 1533-position model. Lineage: Bacteria; Pseudomonadati; Pseudomonadota; Gammaproteobacteria; Enterobacterales; Enterobacteriaceae. The record is from RNAcentral.